Molecule: unclassified non-coding RNA, 1036 nt
Filed under: Hevea brasiliensis (rubber tree)
Lineage: Eukaryota; Viridiplantae; Streptophyta; Magnoliopsida; Malpighiales; Euphorbiaceae
Source: RNAcentral
UCAGUUCUGCUCCAUAUUCAGAGCUCUCUCAAAUACGUGGAUUGCAGAGACUCGCAGAUUUGCAGCAGAGUGACUAAUCAAUUACUUCUUCUGGUCCUGAUUCUUCCAGUACAUUUACAAAACCCAUGAACUAGACAAUUAAAAAAAUCAAUGCCACAGGCUAACAAUCAAAUUCAUGCACAUUUUACUCCCUCCAAUAAGCCACAACAGUAACGCCUUACCUAAGGAAGAAAAAGCAACAAAAAAAACCCUCAAAAUUGGAACCCUCAACAGGAUCACCACAUCCAAUCAAAAAGCCUCAGAAAAUUUUGAUCUAAUCCCAUGCACAAAAUUUCUGUGCAAGCAAAAUCCGGUACCUUCCCUCCAUGAUUAGAAAAAUCGAAUAACUUAGAAGCUAUGCAAUAGAAAAUUAUGCCUUUCAGCUUAGGGUCUUUUCGUGGCGGGGUUGAUCGGAAGCACGGGCAUUGCGUAUAGAAGCAGAAAAUGCAGUCGCAGGAAUACCCAUGUCUCCGGCGAGAUUCUAAUCGCCGGCGCGGCGAAACAGAGAAGGAAAUUGAGGAAAGAGGAAGAGGGGGAGAAAUAAAAGAACUUUCUUGUGCUGGGGGUAGGCGAUUAGGUGUUUUUUGGGUAGAGAGUGGAGACUGGAGACGCUGGAAACGGCGUUGGCCAAGCUGACUAGUGACUAGGCAUAGAAUUGCCACCUGGAUUAGGACAUGGCAAAUUUUAUCCUCAUCUCGCAGUUUGCUAACAUGGCACGAGGUAGCACCCGAGAAAUUAGUUUGAUUGUGGAGCUUGUACGCAUAUGCCACGUGCCGGCACUUGAAUUCGUGGGCACUCUCGAUUGGCUAAUUUUUAUGGAGAAAUUACGAAGUUGACCUCCCACUACGGUUCUGCGGUUGGGGUCUUGUGGUGUGGAGAUACGUGAAACAGUAGUGGAUGAUUCGUGGGGCAAAUUUGAAAUUUGAACGGAGGGCUGAGGGGUGAAAGGGGUGGUGGUGAAAAGUGAAAAGUGCAUGAGGUGGAUGCCUAACAUUGA